GGCCUAACACAUGCAAGUCGAACGGCAGCGGGGGGUAGCUUGCUACCCCGCCGGCGAGUGGCGGACGGGUGAGUAAUGCCUGGGGAGCUGCCCAAUCGAGGGGGAUACCAGUUGGAAACGACUGCUAAUACCGCAUACGCCCUGAGGGGGAAAGGUGGGGAUCUUCGGACCUACCGCGAUUGGAUGCACCCAGGUGGGAUUAGCUAGUUGGUGAGGUAACGGCUCACCAAGGCGACGAUCUCUAGCUGGUCUGAGAGGAUGACCAGCCACACUGGAACUGAGACACGGUCCAGACUCCUACGGGAGGCAGCAGUGGGGAAUAUUGCACAAUGGGGGAAACCCUGAUGCAGCCAUGCCGCGUGUGUGAAGAAGGCCUUCGGGUUGUAAAGCACUUUCAGCGAGGAGGAAAGGUGGCUAGGCUAAUACCUAGUUGCUGUGACGUUACUCGCAGAAGAAGACACCGGCUAACUCCGUG
Molecule: ribosomal RNA, 475 nt
Filed under: uncultured Aeromonas sp.
Lineage: Bacteria; Pseudomonadati; Pseudomonadota; Gammaproteobacteria; Aeromonadales; Aeromonadaceae
Description: bacterial SSU rRNA
Rfam family: Bacterial small subunit ribosomal RNA
Source: RNAcentral